CAACCAACUGGUACAUUUGUUUGAGUUUUGGACUGCUGUACCUCCCCAACAAAGCACUUGGUUUCUUGCAGUCGCGUGUGAGGAGCGUAGUAUUGCUGAGUGUAUCCAUGGCUGCUCGAUGGCCAUCGUGUGCUUCAUUAACCUCGGAGCUGGCAGAGGACGAACUGAGUACUUCAAGGAAAAGACAGAAAAGUAGCACAGCAACUUCUAACGUCCACAAACCCUUGCACUGUCUGUCAAUGCCACAUAUUCAGGUUCCUUUCCCCCUCUUCUAUCUUUUCCUCAAAAUGAUAUUGUACACCUUCCCAAGGCUAGUUGGCAUGGUGACGCUAAUGGGAUGGCCGUUGCUAGGAGAUGCAGAGAGCGGCCAAAAAGAGCAUCGUCACGGUGAGAAGAAGGCGAUCCCUGGAUGGGCUGCUUCCACUGACGCUCUUCUCCAGCUUGGGAAUAACAGGAUUAAAUUCAGCUUGAAAAAUAAAAGAGAAUGAGAAACUAUUAGAACGCAACAACAACAGGACAGAGACAGAGAGAUCUUAAUUAUAACAUGUCAGAUGAGAAUUUUUCUGUACUUUUAAUCCAAGGUUUUAUUAUUUGGUCAUUCAGACGCCGUCUUUAACAUCGGCAGCGCUCCUUAUAUUAGCCGCAAAAUUUCUAUGUCUGAUCUUAGACCAUGUUAAGGACAGUUUUUUUUCCAACUUUCCAAUUUAUCACCACUAUAACCACAUGCCACUUUAUUAGGUGCAAAUGUUCAGCAAUUUGUUCAUGCAAAUAUCUAAUCUAAUAAUAAUAUCUAAUAUCUAAUCAACCAAUCACAUGACAACUCAAAUGCAUUUAGGAACAUUAGAUAUGGUCAAGUAGUAUUAGGUAGUUUCUUUGUACAUUUUGGGCUCCUUAACAUCAAAUGAGCAUCAUUUAAACACCACAGUGAUCCUAAAUAUUGCUGCUGGCCUGACAAUCCCUUUAUGACCACACUGUCCAUAUCUUCUGAUGGCUGCUUCCAACAGGAUAAUAUGCCACGUCAGAGAGAUCAAAUCAUCUCAAACUGGUUUAAUGAACAUGAAAAUGAGUUUAUUGUACUCAAAGGACUCCAAAAUCACAACCUGAAAUCCAUCUCAAUACAGUAGAGCACCUUUGAGAUGUUGUGGAACAGGAGAUUCACAUCAUGAAUAAAUGUCAGUGCCUUGUUAAAUAGAUGCUCUCUAGGCAAAAGAGGUUCAACCCAGUAAUAUCAAGUGGCUGGAGUACACAAUAAUACACUAAAAUAACAGAUAAUAUAAAAUAUUAG
Long non-coding RNA from Neolamprologus brichardi, 1285 nucleotides. RefSeq lists it as uncharacterized. NCBI's taxonomy places the organism in Eukaryota, Metazoa, Chordata, Actinopteri, Cichliformes, Cichlidae. The record is from RefSeq and is a predicted model, not a curated record.